CUCCGAUGAUGAUCUCGCCAUGCUAAUACUGAUGCACCAGACUGACGGUGUGUCUCUCUGGGUGCAAGUGAGUUAGCCUCACCUUCUCAUACUGACUGGAUCAGUGUGUGCUGAGGAGA
RNAcentral lists this small nucleolar RNA (119 nucleotides) under Oncorhynchus mykiss (rainbow trout). The record is from RNAcentral. Lineage: Eukaryota; Metazoa; Chordata; Actinopteri; Salmoniformes; Salmonidae.